AGGUGGGCGAAGGCGGGCCCCCCUGAAACAGAUAACUGACACCUCNGAAUGCGAAGGCGUGGGGAGCCAAACAGAANUAAGAUANCCCUGGUAGUCCACGCCCGUUAAACGAUGUCUACUUGGAGGGUUGUGGCCCUUGAGCCCGUGGCUUUUCGGAGCUAAACGCGUUUAAGUAGACCGCCCUGGGGAGUACGGUUCGCCAGAUUAAAACUCAAAUGAAUUGACGGGGGCCCGCACAAGCGGUGGAGCAUGUGGUUAAUUCGAUGCAACGCGAAGAACCUUACCUACUCUUGACAUCCAGAGAAGCCAGCGGAGACGCAGGUGUGUCUUCGGGAACUCUGAGACAGGUGCUGCAUGGCUGUCGUCAGCUCGUGUUGUGAAAUGUUGGGUUAAGUCCCGCAACGAGCGCAACCCUUAUCCUUGUUUGCCAGCGAGUAAUGUCGGGAACUCCAGGGAGACUGCCGGUGAUAAACCGGAGGAAGGUGGGGACGACGUCAAGUCAUCAUGGCCCUUACGAGUAGGGCUACACACGUGCUACAAUGGCGCAUACAGAGGGCAGCAAGCUAGCGAUAGUGAGCGAAUCCCAAAAAGUGCGUCGUAGUCCGGAUUGGAGUCUGCAACUCGACUCCAUGAAGUCGGAAUCGCUAGUAAUCGUAGAUCAGAAUGCUACGGUGAAUACGUUCCCGGGCCUUGUACACACCGCCCGUCACACCAUGGGAGUGGGCUGCAAAAGAAGUGGGUAGUUUAACUUCUCGGGGAGGACGCUCUCACCACUUUGU
RNAcentral lists this ribosomal RNA (779 nucleotides) under bacterium sedCTABwin06-4. RNAcentral describes it as "bacterial SSU rRNA". It matches the Rfam family "Bacterial small subunit ribosomal RNA", at positions 708 to 1465 of the family's 1533-position model. The record is from RNAcentral.